Molecule: long non-coding RNA, 1147 nt
Organism: Brassica napus (rape)
Lineage: Eukaryota; Viridiplantae; Streptophyta; Magnoliopsida; Brassicales; Brassicaceae
Exons: 2
Source: RefSeq, a predicted model, not a curated record
AUUUUCCUUGCCAAAACUUAACAGAGAGAAAAUGUCUCAAGCACGAAAACACAUUUUGUCAAGAAUUCUGUAGAAUGUUGAAGCUUGAUUGCUUGAACUAAUGUUCCUUUACCUGACAUCUUUGGGAAGCUGCAAGUCGUGCUUCUCAAUUAAAAAUAUAAGAAGUUCUUGUAAAUUUUUUUUAAUAUAAUGAUUUGAUUAGAAUUAAGUAAGAGUUCAUUAAUGUUUUAUACUUAAAAUGAUUUGUGCAUGGCACAAAAACCGUUAAAUUUAGAUAAUCACAAUUAUAAUUAUCAGAUGUAAAUCAAUACAAUACUAAAAGUUGAAUAAGAUCAACAUCUAGACUAUCCACGUAGGCAAAUUAAAUCGACCUAUCAGAGUAUUGAAUUAGGCGACGUCACCCAAAUCAACCUAAACGACAUAUUUGCUUCAUCUUCUGCAAAAUCACCUAAGCUUCACCGCCGUUACUUGUCUUCUCUUCUAGACCAGUUCCCUCCUUCCGAUCAUUCUCUCUACCCUCCCCCUCCGCCUCAGCUUCCCACUGUAAGUUAUGAUCAAAUCCUUUCUGAUUACUCCGUCGUGAUUCCCGAUUUCGAUUAGGUUUAGGUUUGGAGACUUCGAAUUAGAUCGGAUUUCUCUAAGAGUUUGAUGAUUUUCAGCUUCUUUCGAUUUGAAUAGUGUAUUCUUCCUGCUGGUGUGGCGUUCCAUUCAUCUGGGUUUGUUUCCAGCGACCCUGCGAGUUUCCCACGGAGCUACCCCAUUGUCUUGACGGAGGGUGAUGGAACGAAAAUAUUUGUCAGAUUGCGUUUCGGGACCGAGUCUGCGAGGAUGUUACUGAAGCUUAUCGUUUACCACCCAAUACAUACACAGACAAGUGUAUCUGUAUCGUCUCUUACGCCCCCAGUUUCCGAGCUCUUCGGGAUUCUCUCGAGGAGAUUUUUGUUCUUUACUUCUCCUCAGAAGGAAGCUGGUAAGAACAUUCAGUGCUUAAAAAUAUGAAAGCAAACCUCCAUUCUUCUGUUUUGAAAUUGGUGUUAGUCGCCUCUUCAAUAUUUUUAGUAAGCCAUUGUGGGAUAUUAUUGCUAUGUUUCGGUCUCUAUUUUUCCUCUGUAUUUGGUAAGAUGCCAAAGGAAUCUUCAGUGACACU